Molecule: long non-coding RNA, 176 nt
Filed under: Apteryx rowi (Okarito brown kiwi)
Lineage: Eukaryota; Metazoa; Chordata; Aves; Apterygiformes; Apterygidae
Description: lncRNA (ENSARWG00000005024.1)
Source: RNAcentral
AAAGUAAAGGAUUGGGACCUAAUCUGUUGUUCCUAAUCUGUUGUUCAGAGAUUGAGUAUGAUGAAGGGGAGCUGUAAACUAUGAAUGCGAUUCACCAAAGGAGCAGUUUGUGUCUACUACUGAAAAUACUCUCUCAGUCAGCACUUCUGCAGUUGACCAAGGAAGAGAGAACAUGA